GCAGCCGCCGCGGUAAUACAGAGGGUGCGAGCGUUAAUCGGAUUUACUGGGCGUAAAGCGUGCGUAGGCGGCUUUUUAAGUCGGAUGUGAAAUCCCUGAGCUUAACUUAGGAAUUGCAUUCGAUACUGGGAAGCUAGAGUAUGGGAGAGGAUGGUAGAAUUCCAGGUGUAGCGGUGAAAUGCGUAGAGAUCUGGAGGAAUACCGAUGGCGAAGGCAGCCAUCUGGCCUAAUACUGACGCUGAGGUACGAAAGCAUGGGGAGCAAACAGGAUUAGAUACCCCAGUAGUCCCUGUCUCUUAUU
This 301-nucleotide ribosomal RNA is filed under the name uncultured bacterium. Its description in RNAcentral is "partial 16S ribosomal RNA". It matches the Rfam family "Bacterial small subunit ribosomal RNA", at positions 508 to 808 of the family's 1533-position model. The record is from RNAcentral.